CCUGUGUGCUUGUGUUUUCCUGGCUGAGAAACCGGUUCUGUGCUGCUCUCUCUCUCUCUCUCUCUCCCUCUCUCUCUCUCUCGCUCUCUCUCUGUCUCUCUUUCUCCGUCUCUCUCUGUCUUUUCUCUUGCUGUGUCUCGCGCUGUUCCAGUAUCGGUGGCUGGGUUGACAGCUGGCGUCCUCUUUGAGGCCCCUUCUUUCAUUUUGUUUCAGCACAAUUUGUGCUUCAGCUUUUUCUUUUUUGAACAGUUGAUCUUUUCUGUUUUUCUCUCUCUCUCUCUCUCUCUCUCUGUCUUUCUCGCUCUCUCUGUUUCUUUCUUUUCAUGCCUCCUCCCCUUCUCUUCCCCCUCCUGACGCUGAUCCGUGGAGGAAGAGGAAGAGGAAGAGGAACAGAAAGGUGUCUCUGGGAAAGGGGGAUGAGAGGCAGAAACAGUGAGACAGAGCGUGAAAGAAAGCGAGCGAGCGAGAGAAGGAGGAGGAGGAGGAGGAGGAGGAGGAGGAGGACGGAGAGAGCCGGACCGAAUCAGAGAGAAGUGAAAAAGGGGAGAAAGAGAAGAGUUGUGAAGAAAGAAGACUGACAGAGAGCAGAGGACGACAACAGGGACAGCCGAACCGAACAAAAUCGCGGGGAAAGCGGAACAACGGGGCGAGACAAGCGGACUCAUCCGACCUCUGCUGUGAUUGGCCGGCCCACACCCACAUCAGCCCUGUCCUGCAGCCUCCCCCAGGUGUUCAGGUGUGGGGUUGCACCUCCACGGCCCGCUGGCCCGCUGGCCCCACGUACCCAGGGAGGCAGACUUGUCUUUCUCCGAUGGCAGCAGACUUCCAGUGGAGGGAUACGUUUGGCUUUUACUCGUCUCUGUCCCUCAGCAGCCUUAGGAUUUGAAUCUUGCUUCCCCAUAAGGAAGUCUGUCUGCCUGGGUGCUAUCCAUCCCCUUCCUUCACUUUGAUGCCAUACCACGUUAGCGAACAAAAGGACCUUGCAAAAUGGCCAGAGGAUUCAUGUUUUCCUGGGCACAUGAAACAGUAGUGCAAGAAGAACCGAUUUGGUUGAUGCGGGCCUUCAAAUCUUUAAUUUUAUUUUAUUAUUUAAUAAUUUUUUUUUGGGGGGGGGGGUGGAGACAGGAUCCUGCAGGAUCUCCAUCUUCCCUUGUCCUCACAUCACCUGGACCGUUGGAGGGCGUGAGUUCAGAGUCAUCCCGGCGCACACAGAGCAGUCGACAGUCGAUUUUCAACAGGAAAAAAAGGGAAUUAUACAGGGUAUACCCAUUGGUUUUGUGAAUUAGGUUUAGGAAUGACACGACGAAAGGUUUUGUGACUAGUUUGCAUCAAGAAGACUAAAACGCGCAAGAUAAUGUCAUAGAAACUUGUCACACUGGUGCACAUUGCUGUCUUUAAAGGGAAGAUCUCGGAGCUUCUCUGCGGCAUGCUAUAUUGUGGUGAAAUGCAGUAUCUAAUUCUGCCUCCAUUGUGUCAUCCUGACACUUAGCUUUCUGUUACCAGUAAAAAUGUGUGAUGUCGCGUAUUAUUAAUAGCAUGAUGUAUAGAGACACCAUGUAGCUCAUAAGCUUCAGUUUGAUAGUACACUGCAACAUUUGUUUCUCGAAGGUUCCUCACAUCUUUUUUUUCACAGAUGUGAUAUGACAAAAGCUGACGAGAAAAAAAAACGAAAAGCCAAGAAGGAAAAAAAUCACUAACGUGUCUGAGUUUCAAAAAUUGUUUAAGACAAGCCUUUGUGUCCCAGCGUGCACCUCUGUCCCUGAGACCCUUAACCUGUGAAGUCAUAACAGGUCACAGGUGAGGUCCUCAGGAACAGGGUUUCAUGCGUUUUCACCCCAGUAGUCCUGUAGAGUUCUGCUGUACAUUCACUUCCCUGAGAUAGAGAGACCCAAAAGGUAAUCUACGGCUUUAAAACCACUCACGAAUGAAGUGUGCUGAUGACCUUUCCUAAAACUGCUGAUCUAACUAAAAAGGACCAGACCCGCAGAUUGAACGAUACGCCCUAUGAAUAUUCAUCGCAACGAUUACUAGCCUUUCAUCAGACAUUUUCCGAGCAAGGGCAGAGAGAGGGAAAACAGAGAAGAAAAGAGGGUAGGAUGCUAAAUGAAGGAGGACGAGAGACCGAGGAAGAGGAUGAGGAAGAGCAAAUUGUUCUUGACUCAAGGGGGCAUACCCUUUUGGCUGUCUUUGUUGUUCUCACCCCUGAGAGAUGUGAUGAGAAGGCAGCCAAGGCCAGUGACCCCGACACACAGUCCUCGCUGAAUGUGAUGGCUAAUGAAUGCAUCCCUCCUAUGGCAUAUAAACAGCUCUGAUAUUCUAUAUGAUGUUUCUUCUCUGGCACUACAUGAAUAAACAUGUGUUCUCACAAAAGAGUGUCCAUUAAAUAUUUCUUAUGCAAUAUUUCAUAGAAUGUGUACGUUUGUAUUUGUGUGUGUGUGUGUGUGUCUGUGUGAGAGAGAGAGAGAGAGAGAGAGAGAGAAAAGGAGAUAGAUAAUCUCUGCGUGGUGUUUAAUUCCACUGUGCAAACGAACAGGAUGAAGCCUGAAGCAUCUGUUGUGCAGAAGAAUAAAGAUGAUCUGAACGUCUGAAAGAGCUCAGAAUCCAAUCAAGGCCCACACACCCACCAACUUUAUUACAGAUUCCUCCAUUUCCUAUAUGACUCCCGAAGCUGUUAAAGAACAUUAAGAUCUCAUUAGUAAUCCAAGCACUCCGCCACAGUCCAAUGAGCCCAGCUCAUAUAUAGGGCUAUUCGGGGGG
This is a long non-coding RNA of Clupea harengus (Atlantic herring), 2757 nucleotides long. The record is from Ensembl. NCBI's taxonomy places the organism in Eukaryota, Metazoa, Chordata, Actinopteri, Clupeiformes, Clupeidae.